This 85-nucleotide transfer RNA is filed under the name Solirubrobacterales bacterium. RNAcentral's name for it is "tRNA-Leu". It matches the Rfam family "tRNA". From Rfam's summary of the family: Transfer RNA (tRNA) molecules are approximately 80 nucleotides in length. Their secondary structure includes four short double-helical elements and three loops (D, anti-codon, and T loops). RNAcentral also lists the same sequence under 2 other names. Lineage: Bacteria; Bacillati; Actinomycetota; Thermoleophilia; Solirubrobacterales. The record is from RNAcentral.
GCCGGGGUGACGGAACUGGUGAGACGUGGCCGACUUAAAAUCGGCUGCCCGCAAGGGCGUGGGGGUUCGAAUCCCUCCCCCGGCA